UACAACAGCAUGUACGAAGAGGAAAACAUGUGCAAGCAGUUAAGAUACAAAAAUAAAAAGUCUGGAUAACUUCAACCAUUUAUACAACAUUUUAGUAAUCAGUCAGAUUAUAAUGCAGAUUUGUGUUCAACAUUGGUAGCUGAAAAUAUUCCAAUGAAUAAACUAAAUAAUAAUCAUUUUCACGAAUUUUUAAUUAAAUAUUGCAAAAAUUAUCAUGGGUUUGAUUUAGACGAAACCUCUUGUAUGAAGUAUGCACCGAUCACUUCAGUGGAUGUAGAGCAUUCGUUUUCUAUGUAUAAAAACAUUCUGUCA
Non-coding RNA from Cinara cedri, 312 nucleotides. NCBI's taxonomy places the organism in Eukaryota, Metazoa, Arthropoda, Insecta, Hemiptera, Aphididae. The record is from the annotation of a GenBank genome assembly.